Molecule: long non-coding RNA, 2266 nt
Organism: Homo sapiens (human)
Lineage: Eukaryota; Metazoa; Chordata; Mammalia; Primates; Hominidae
Exons: 3
Source: RefSeq, a predicted model, not a curated record
CCUGGGCGACAGAGAAAGACCCUGUCUCUUAAAAAAAAAAAAAUCUUAGAUAAGAGGAUGCUGUGCCUCCCUGGGGGUCUUCAGUCACCCAUAGUCCUGGCAAGAGAGGAGGGCCAGGAGAGAGCUUCACCCACCUGCUGUCCUGCCCAUGUGACAUCCGCAGGUGCUGCCAUGGCCACGACUGUUGUUACACUCGAGCUGAGGAGGCCGGCUGCAGCCCCAAGACAGAGCGCUACUCCUGGCAGUGCGUCAAUCAGAGCGUCCUGUGCGAGAUGGGGUUUCGCUAUGAUGCCCUGGCUAGUCUUCAACUCCUGGACUCAAGUGAUCUGCCCACCUCGGCCCCCUAAAGUGCUGGGAUUACAGGCCUGAGCUGUGUAAUUUCAUGCCGCGUGACACAGCCCAGUAAAAAGGAAGAAACCCCGCGGGUCCAGCGUCUACUCACACAGGUGGACUGAUGGCUGAUAAAUCCCAGCAGGAGCCAAAAGAGCAGCCACAGCACCCAUCUACUCACACAGGUGGACUGAUGGCUGAUAAAUCCCAGCAGGAGCCAAAAGAGGAGCCAAAAGAGCAGCCACCGCACCCGCAUGUCCUGGUCCUUUCAGGGCACCCGGAGGUGGCCAGGACAGAGGUGGAGGUGGCUUAGGGCAGGGGGGAGGGAAGGGGACGGGGACCGGGCCGGAUCUGAGUUGGGGAGGGGGAGGGGAGGGGGAGGGGAAGGGGAGGGGAAGGGGGGAAGUAAGGGAAGGGAAAGGAGGAGAAGGGGGCUGUUGGGGAGGAGGAGGAGGAGAAGAAGAAAGGGGUCUGGGAAAGGAUCCGGUUCAAAUUAAGUUCUCAAGCGCUGGUGGAAGGUUUAGCUACAGGUCACGGAGAAGAUCAGGGAAGCAACAGGACACGCGGGGCAAGGGAGCGUGAGGCUUAGGAGCAAUUAGAGGGAGACAAAGGUUCUGCUUUCCACCAAACCUUCUUCGGUCUGGGCCCUCCCUUAGCAACCCUGGGGCUUUAGACUCUCUCUCCACCAAUCCCUGAUGACCCCGGUGGUGCCUCACAAUGGACAUUCCAAGUAGCGCCCGCAUCAUCCCAAUGACCCCUCCCCCAUCUCAGUCCCCCACGCUCCUCCCAAGACCAGGUCCUCUCUGGAACCUUCAGAAACCUGAUUUCUGGUCCUCCCCAACCAGCUCCCUGUCCCUGCUUCUGGGCGCUCCUUCCUUCCUGAGCUCCCAGGGUUCCUCAAGGUCACUUUUGGCGACAAAACAUAAAAAACAAAUGAUGGCAGGAUGGCAGGAAGAAUCUCUUUGUCCCUGAGUUUCAGAAGCAAAUAGUGAAGCUUUGGGCAGAAGAGGAUUCAUGGGAAAAUAUAUCCAAAUCACUUUGGUUCCUUCCUUUGGAUAGAAGGAAUUUGGAUCAUGAGGGCCCCUGGGUGUCCUCAAGUGGCCACUUUGGAAGGCUGGGUGGGUGGUGGCUGUGGCAUUGUGGAUGAUGGACAAUCGUGUGGCCUUGGUGAGGAGUGAUGGGGCUCUCGGUGUUUGCAGAGGAAGCUGCCUGGACAGGACAUCGCACAAGGAUCCUACAUUGCCCUGCCAUUGACGCUGCUGGUUCUGCUGGCCGGUUACAACCAUGACAAGCUCAUUCCUUUGCUGCUGCAGUUGACAAGCCGGCUACAGGGAGUCCGCGUGCUCGGCCAGGCAGCCUCUGACAAUAGCGGCCCAGAAGAUGCAAAGAGACAAGCCAAGAAACAGAAGACAAGGCGGACUUGAGGAGGAAGGGGACAGUUGCAGUCUCACUUGGGACAGGCCACAGCCAGGGGUCCGGCCACUACCCGCCCGUGGGAUAAAAGCCAAAAGCAUGCGUCAGCUAACUUCAGCCUGUGCUGCUGGGCCCGCACCCCAUGUCCCUUGUCACUGUGGCAUCCUGCACCCAUCCUCACCCCUCCGUAGAGCCCCUCGUGCAAUGCAAUGAAUGGACCCUCCUGUCACUCUGCUGAACAGAAUUUAUUUUCUGAGUCAAAUAUAAUUUAUUAUUAUUUUUGUCAAAGAAGUAUUUAAGCUGUGCUGUGGUGUGAGAAUGUCAUUCUUGAUCUUCAGCCUUCGUUUGCAAGAAGAGUUCCAGUUGACGUGGUGUUUGGUUCCAUGGCGGGGUACCCUAGGGAUUCAUCUGUUUUCUUCACUUCCCUUUGCAUCUGAGAUCCUGCUGGAAACCACAGCAACCUGUAUCCACUAUUAGGAGGUAAAAAUCAAUAAAAUGGCCCAUUCAUUUGUGUUGUAGCUCA